Xenia sp. Carnegie-2017 is the source of this 739-nucleotide long non-coding RNA. RefSeq lists it as uncharacterized. The record is from RefSeq and is a predicted model, not a curated record. The transcript has 2 exons. Lineage: Eukaryota; Metazoa; Cnidaria; Anthozoa; Malacalcyonacea; Xeniidae.
CAAAGUUGUAAAAACAUGGCGGCGGCGAGUGAUGGUAAUGGCCCUUGUAUUUCGUGCACAAGUUUAACAAAAUACACUUGUUUAAAGUGCAAAAAAUUUUUAUCUACAAGGUGCUCUAUUUUUGAAGACGACGAAGAGAGUGUUGGUUGGAAAGCAGAACGAGCGGUUUCUCGUUGCGAUGCAUGUUUUCGUGAAAAGAUUGGGAGUGAGGGAAGUCGAUCAGUAAAUUUGUAGGAGUACAUCUUUUCGGGCGAGCAUACGUUCAUUUCGACUGUCCUCUUGUGAGAGCAUCGAAGGCGAAGUAGAAUCGACCAAGGCCAUUAAAACAAUUGAAUAAAAAUUCUUCGAUGGUGUAAAAGUAAUCUCCUCGUCCCAAUCUGUAAAGGCAUAUACCAAGUCUUUCCUCCGGAGAAAUGGGUUCUAUUUCCGCUUUCCCAUUUUCUUCCAAACCAGAAUUUCCAUAUUUGCAAAAGGCAGCUCCAGAAAAAAAAAGCGAGAAAGAAUACGAUGCAAUAUGUCAGAGCCAACAAAGCUAGGUAAUAUGUCACGCGUAAAACAAUAAUAUAUUGAAACCCUUUUCUUGGCGAAUUUUUUCAAAGGUUGAUUCUCCUUUAGUUUAGUGAUUGCCACAUGAAGGGUUAAUGAACUACGAAAGUUGAACUGAAAUCAUGCAAAGUUUUAAUCUCCUAUCUACAAAUCAUGUAAACCAAGUGAAAUAAAUAGGAGUUUAAACGUUGUA